AUACUUACCUAGCAGAGGAGACACCAUGACCAAGAAGGUGGUUCUCCCAGAGCGAGACUCAUCCAUUGCACUCUGAGUGUGUUGACCUCUGCGAUUUCCUCAAAUAGAGGAAACUCGACUGCGUAAUCUGUGGUAGUGGGGUAUUGCGUGCGCGCUUUCCCCUG
Molecule: small nuclear RNA, 164 nt
Organism: Budorcas taxicolor (takin)
Lineage: Eukaryota; Metazoa; Chordata; Mammalia; Artiodactyla; Bovidae
Product: U1 spliceosomal RNA
Exons: 1
Source: RefSeq, a predicted model, not a curated record